GCCAGGCGUGCUGGCUCACGCCUGUAAUCCCAGCACUUUGGGAGGCCAAGGCAGGUGGAUCACCUGAGGUCAGGAGUUCGAGACCACCCUGUGCAACAUGGUGAAACCCGGUCUCUACUAAAAAUACAAAAAUUAGUUGGGUGUGGUGGUGGGCACCUGUAAUCCCAGCUACUCGGGAGGCUGGGGCAGGAGCAUUGCUAGAACCCCGAAAGCGGAGGUUGCAGUGAGCCGACAUUGCGCCACUGUAAUCCUGCCUGGGCAACAGAGCAAGACUCCGUCUCA
This 282-nucleotide small RNA is filed under the name Nomascus leucogenys (northern white-cheeked gibbon). RNAcentral's name for it is "Metazoan signal recognition particle RNA (ENSNLEG00000027750.1)". The record is from RNAcentral. Lineage: Eukaryota; Metazoa; Chordata; Mammalia; Primates; Hylobatidae.